UAAUACAUGCAAGUCGAGCGAAUGACGAGGAGCUUGCUCCUCUGAUUUAGCGGCGGACGGGUGAGUAACACGUGGGCAACCUGCCCUGCAGACUGGGAUAACUUCGGGAAACCGGAGCUAAUACCGGAUAAUCCAUUUUACUUCAUGGUGAAAUGUUGAAAGGCGCUUUCGCGCCACUGCAGGAUGGGCCCGCGGUGCAUUAGCUAGUUGGUGGGGUAACGGCCUACCAAGGCGACGAUGCAUAGCCGACCUGAGAGGGUGAUCGGCCACAUUGGGACUGAGACACGGCCCAAACUCCUACGGGAGGCAGCAGUAGGGAAUCUUCCACAAUGGACGAAAGUCUGAUGGAGCAACGCCGCGUGAGUGAUGAAGGUUUUCGGAUCGUAAAACUCUGUUGUAAGGGAAGAACAAGUACGUUAGGAAAUGAACGUACCUUGACGGUACCUUAUUAGAAAGCCACGGCUAACUACGUGCCAGCAGCCGCGGUAAUACGUAGGUGGCAAGCGUUGUCCGGAUUUAUUGGGCGUAAAGCGCGCGCAGGUGGUUUCUUAAGUCUGAUGUGAAAUCUCGCGGCUCAACCGCGAGCGGUCAUUGGAAACUGGGGAACUUGAGUGCAGAAGAGGAUAGUGGAAUUCCAAGUGUAGCGGUGAAAUGCGUAGAGAUUUGGAGGAACACCAGUGGCGAAGGCGACUGUCUGGUCUGUAACUGACACUGAGGCGCGAAAGCGUGGGGAGCAAACAGGAUUAGAUACCCUGGUAGUCCACGCCGUAAACGAUGAGUGCUAAGUGUUAGGGGGUUUCCGCCCCUUAGUGCUGCAGCUAACGCAUUAAGCACUC
Molecule: ribosomal RNA, 836 nt
Filed under: Rummeliibacillus stabekisii
Lineage: Bacteria; Bacillati; Bacillota; Bacilli; Caryophanales; Caryophanaceae
Description: bacterial SSU rRNA
Rfam family: Bacterial small subunit ribosomal RNA
Source: RNAcentral